CCGGGGAUUCCCAUGAUGCACUGGGUGUUUCUUCUUCACUCACUAUGUGUUUAUUGACCACUCUGCACUGAAUCAUUUGGCUCUCUUCCACGGCGUGUCUUUGUGUCGUCUUCCUCCUCUCACCCCCACCUUCCCUGAGCCUGGUUCAGCCGGAGGUUUCUUCCUGUUAAAAGGGAGUUUUUCCUUCCCACUGUUGCCAAAGAGCUGCUCAUAGGGGGUCAUAUGAUUGCUGGGUGUUACUCUGUGUUAUUGUAGGCUACACCUUACAAUACAAAGCAUCUUGAGGUGACCGCUGUGAUUUGAAUUGAAAUUGAGGUUGAUGAAGAGCCGGGGUGCACCUGUUGCCUUGAGUCAGAUUUAUAAAGGUGUGCACAAACAUGUUGUCUGAUGUCUGUCUGCACCUGAACACCACAGGAAGAGGGAGGCAGGCUGUCACUGCCGGAGUCAGUUCAGAGCUGAAGCUGUGUGAGGACGAAGAGAAGCUAUUUAAAGCUUCACAGUCACCGUGAAUAAUAAGGAGCCUGAUGAAUUAUUCACUUUGUACCCAUGAAUAUAUUUAUAUGUGAAAGCAUGUGCACAGCUGCAGUGAGGUCUACGUGAGGUUAUUAUUCCAUCUGCAGCGAUCUAAAUUUGGAGCUGCACUUCCCGUUCAGGGACCUCCGGGCGUCUCCGUGAGCAAACAGCAGCAGAGUCUGAAAGCCUCCUGCUGAUUGGAUCAGAGAGAGCAGGCAGACCGAUGCAGGCGGGAGUUCUGUGUGAGUGAGCUGCUGAGGAUGGCGCCGGCUUCCUCACUGUGCUGUCGGUCGAACAGGGCUGGCUUUAAAAAAUUUAUUUUAAUUUGAAUAAUGCAAUAUUGAUUCAUUAAAUCCUGAACCGGCCUGGCUCUGCUGAAGGUUUCUUCCUGUUAUAAGGGGUUUUUUCCUUCCCCCUGUCACCAAAGUGCUUGCUCACAGGGGCUGUUGCGGUUUCUCUGUAUUAUUGUAGGUGUUUACAGGAUUGGGGCGACUACUGAUAUGAAUGAAGCUGAAUUGAACUGAAACCUAAUUGGGCAAUCACCUCGUCAAACAGGUGUGCUUUGCUUUAAAUGCGACAGGAAGUGGAACUGAUAACGUACCUGUGUGUUUCCAGGUGAGUUGUGGUUGGACAGAGGGAAUCCUCGCACUGACAGCAAUGCUUCACUGGCUCAGGACAGUGAGGCCCCGCCCAGCAGCCCAGGUGACAUCAGAGAGCAGUCCUCCCUUGUGUCCAGUUGGAGGUCUCAGUUUUGUUUGCUGAUGUAAGCUCUCCUGAUUGGACAGUCGGUAAUCGGAGAGGACCUGUCAGCGUCACUGAAGUCCUUAGAGCUUCAGUCAGCUAAUGCUGCAGCGUUGCCGUGGCUCAGACUGAGAAUCAGAGCUGAGCCAUCACAUUGUGCUGCUCACUCUGACCCGAGACUCUGACAACAGAAAACCUAAAAAGAAAUAAAAACACACAACCAGC
This is a long non-coding RNA of Haplochromis burtoni (Burton's mouthbrooder), 1479 nucleotides long. RefSeq lists it as uncharacterized. The transcript is spliced from 2 exons. NCBI's taxonomy places the organism in Eukaryota, Metazoa, Chordata, Actinopteri, Cichliformes, Cichlidae. The record is from RefSeq and is a predicted model, not a curated record.